AAGAAUCGGAUUGUUUACUUGGGCAUGUCUCUUGUUCCUUCUGUCACAGAGUUAAUACUUGCAGAAUUUCUUUACCUUCAGUAUGAGGAUGAAGAGAAACCUAUUUACCUUUAUAUAAACUCCACUGGUACAACUAAGGGUGGUGAAAAGCUGGGUUAUGAGACAGAGGCUUUUGCAAUCUAUGAUGUUAUGGGGUAUGUCAAGCCACCUAUAUUUACCCUCUGUGUUGGUAACGCUUGGGGAGAAGCAGCUUUACUUCUGGCUGCUGGGUCAAAGGGAAAUCGAUCUGCACUACCUUCAUCAACUAUCAUGAUAAAACAGCCAAUAGGAAGAUUUCAAGGUCAAGCAACAGAUGUCGACCUUGCAAGAAAAGAAGUCAAGAAUGUGAAAGCAGAAUUGGUCAAUCUCCUGGCAAAGCAUAUUGGAAAAUCACCUGAACAGAUUGAAGCAGACAUCAGUCGCCCAAAAUAUUUUAAUCCAGCUGAGGCAGUUGAAUAUGGCAUCAUAGA
RNAcentral lists this unclassified non-coding RNA (509 nucleotides) under Hevea brasiliensis (rubber tree). Lineage: Eukaryota; Viridiplantae; Streptophyta; Magnoliopsida; Malpighiales; Euphorbiaceae. The record is from RNAcentral.